RNAcentral lists this ribosomal RNA (20 nucleotides) under Yuccamyces pilosus. RNAcentral's name for it is "partial 28S ribosomal RNA". The record is from RNAcentral. Lineage: Eukaryota; Fungi; Ascomycota; Dothideomycetes; Patellariales. RNAcentral also lists the same sequence under 1 other name.
GUUGACCUCGGAUCAGUAGA